This 186-nucleotide non-coding RNA is filed under the name Clostridiales bacterium. Its description in RNAcentral is "6S RNA". It matches the Rfam family "6S / SsrS RNA". From Rfam's summary of the family: E. coli 6S RNA was the first non coding RNA to be sequenced, but its function was unknown until recently. It consists of 184 nucleotides that fold into an extended hairpin structure with a large single-stranded internal bulge. Lineage: Bacteria; Bacillati; Bacillota; Clostridia; Eubacteriales. The record is from RNAcentral.
AAAUUACUGCGUGGUUCGUAAUGAAUAGAAUUUUAGAUCCACAAUCUAGAUUUAAAGGAAUCCAACAAUUGAGUUGCGGCGUGCAUUCUUAAUUCAUUUAAGAAUCCCAGAAACAACCCUGAGGUAACCUACCUGUUUCAAACAGGUUCUUAAAAUCCCUAUUCAUACGGCCAAGGCGGUAUUUUU